GCCAUUUAUGUACGGGCUCUGUUUGGUUUUAUAUUUUUUGUUGUUUAACUGUUGUGUUGGUUCUAAGUUCUAGGCUUCAUUUAAAGAAAGAGUUUGCAUAAAUAUAGUGCCUUAAGUUUGAGGUAUGUUAUGGAUCUAUGGCCGUCGCUUGAUCUUCGGGAGGGGCUGGGGCUGCCUACUUUCCUCCAUGGACAUUGCAGUACUUGCAGUCACCGUUGAUGACCACAUUGCCGGGAUCGGGCGACAGGGGAACAGCUGAGCAGAGGGGAAAACAUUAUAGUAUUGAAGACAUCAAAGCCAGUUUAAUGCGCUCAACUCACCAUUGGCCAGGGCGAGCAGACCGAUCACAAAAACGCUGACGACUGAGAAGAAUUUCAUAUUGAUUCUGUAUUCUGGUUCUGCUCUAUGGGCUAGUGCUGAAUGGAUUGGACU
RNAcentral lists this long non-coding RNA (432 nucleotides) under Drosophila guanche. Lineage: Eukaryota; Metazoa; Arthropoda; Insecta; Diptera; Drosophilidae. The record is from RNAcentral.